This 1248-nucleotide ribosomal RNA is filed under the name metagenome. RNAcentral's name for it is "bacterial LSU rRNA". It matches the Rfam family "Bacterial large subunit ribosomal RNA", at positions 1635 to 2875 of the family's 2925-position model. The record is from RNAcentral.
CAUACGACCGUACCGCAAACCGACACUGGUGCGCGAGAUGAGUAUUCUAAGGCGCUUGAGAGAACUCAGGAGAAGGAACUCGACAAAUUGACACCGUAACUUCGGAAGAAGGUGUGCCCUAUUAGUGUGUAGUGAACAACGAAGCAUGAAUGGGUUGCAAAAAAUCGGUGGCUGCGACUGUUUAUUAAAAACACAGCACUCUGCAAACACGAAAGUGGACGUAUAGGGUGUGACGCCUGCCCGGUGCUGGAAGAUUAAAUGAUGGGGUGCAAGCUCUUGAUUGAAGUCCCAGUAAACGGCGGCCGUAACUAUAACGGUCCUAAGGUAGCGAAAUUCCUUGUCGGGUAAGUUCCGACCUGCACGAAUGGCGUAACGAUGGCCACACUGUCUCCUCCUGAGACUCAGCGAAGUUGAAAUGUUUGUGAUGAUGCAAUCUCCCCGCGGAAAGACGGAAAGACCCCAUGAACCUUUACUGUAGCUUUGUAUUGGACUUUGAACAGAUCUGUGUAGGAUAGGUGGGAGGCUUUGAAGCAGGGUCGCUAGAUCUUGUGGAGCCAACGUUGAAAUACCACCCUGGUGUGUUUGAGGUUCUAACCUAGGUCCAUUAUCUGGAUCGGGGACAGUGCAUGGUAGGCAGUUUGACUGGGGCGGUCUCCUCCCAAAGCGUAACGGAGGAGUUCGAAGGUACGCUAGUUACGGUCGGACAUCGUGACGAUAGUGCAAUGGCAUAAGCGUGCUUAACUGCGAGACUGACAAGUCGAGCAGAUGCGAAAGCAGGACAUAGUGAUCCGGUGGUUCUGUAUGGAAGGGCCAUCGCUCAACGGAUAAAAGGUACUCUGGGGAUAACAGGCUGAUACCGCCCAAGAGUUCAUAUCGACGGCGGUGUUUGGCACCUCGAUGUCGGCUCAUCUCAUCCUGGGGCUGUAGCCGGUCCCAAGGGUAUGGCUGUUCGCCAUUUAAAGAGGUACGUGAGCUGGGUUUAAAACGUCGUGAGACAGUUUGGUCCCUAUCUUCCGUGGGCGCUGCAGAUUUGAGGAAGCCUGCUCCUAGUACGAGAGGACCGGAGUGGACACACCUCUGGUGUAUCGGUUGUCACGCCAGUGGCAUUGCCGAGUAGCUAAGUGUGGAAGAGAUAACCGCUGAAAGCAUCUAAGCGGGAAACUCGUUUCAAGAUGAGAUCUGCCGGGGCCUUGAGCCCCCUAAAGAGUCGUUCAAGACCAGGACGUUGAUAGGUCAGGUGUGGAAGUG